AUUCCCCAGAGCAGCACCGGCUGCUCCAGUAUUGGCAGUUGGAGCAAGAGCUGAGGGCAGUAAUGAGAAGAGCCAGUCAUACUUAUCAUAUUCAGCUUUCACAAAGCAAAAAGUUAUGGAAUGGAAAAAUCAUAGGAUCCCUGAAAAGGAUGAAGCUCUAUUACUUCAUAUGCUAGACUCUGGAAAACCCCCUGAAGUUGUGGCUGAUGCCUUGUCCACCACUGUGUCCUUCCUUGGUGCCUGACAUGGAGCCUAGUGCCAAGCAGAACCUUAAAUGUUUGGUUGAAUUAAUGAAUAAAAAUGUUUGGAGGGGUCAAACACAGCUCUAGGUAUUAAGCACUGUAAACUUUAGAAGUAUGAUCCUGGUGAUUUACUCUCCAUAUUGGUGGAUAUCAUUAUCAUUGAGCAUUUAUUUGUGUAACUACUUAUUACAUAGUUAGAAGAAAGGGAAGAUGAGGUUAGGACUUUAUGAAAGUCAGUGGUCAGAUGCUGAUGAAAGAAAUUGAAGAUGACACAAACAGAUGGAAAGAUAUACUGUGCUCUUGGAUUGGAAGAAUCAAUAUUGUUAAAAUGACUAUACUACCCAAGGCAAUCAACAAAUUCAAUGCAAUCCUAAUCAAAUUACCAAUGGCAUUUUCCACAGAACUAGAACAAAAAAAAUUUUAAAUUUUAUACAAACACAAGAGACCCAAAGAAAUCUUGAGAAAGAAGAAUGGAGCUGGAGGAAUCAGGCUCCCUAACUUCAGACUAUACUAUAAAGUUGCAGUAAUCAAAACAGUUUGGUACUGGCACAAAAACAGAACAAUGGUACAGGACAGAAAGCCCAGAAACAAACCCACACACCUAUGGUCAAUUAAUCUAUGACAAAGGAGGCAAGAAUAUACAAUGGAGAAAAGACAGUCUCUUCAAUAAGUGGUGCUGGGGAAACUGGACAGACACACGUAAAAGCUUGAAAUUAGAACAUUCUCUAAUACUAUAUACAAAAAUAAACUCAAAAUGGAUCAAAGACCUAAAUGUAAGAACAGAUACUAUAAAACUCCUAGAGGAAAACAUAGAACACUCUGACAUAAAUUGCAGCAAUAUCUUUUUGUAUCUGUCUCUCAGAGUAAUGGAAAUAAAAGCAAAAAUAAACAAAUGGGACCUGAUUAAACUUAAAAGCUUUUGCACAGCAAAGGAAAGCACAAACAAAAGACAUGAAAAGACAACCUCCAGAAUGGGAGAAAAUAUUCACAAACAAUGCGACUGACACCAGAUUAAUUUCCAAAAUAUACAAAUAGCUCAUAUAGCUCAAUAUCAGAAAACAACCCAAUCAAAAAAUGGGCAGAAGAUAUAAGAAACAAUUCUCCAAAGAUGACAUCCC
Molecule: long non-coding RNA, 1360 nt
Organism: Hippopotamus amphibius kiboko
Lineage: Eukaryota; Metazoa; Chordata; Mammalia; Artiodactyla; Hippopotamidae
Exons: 3
Source: RefSeq, a predicted model, not a curated record